AGCGGCGGACGGGUGAGUAACGCGUGGGUAACCUGCCCUAUACACAUGGAUAACAUGCUGAAAAGUUUACUAAUACAUGAUAAUAUAUGUUUGCGGCAUCGCAGAUAUAUCAAAGUGUUAGCGGUAUAGGAUGGACCCGCGUCUGAUUAGCUAGUUGGUGAGAUAACUGCCCACCAAGGCGACGAUCAGUAGCCGACCUGAGAGGGUGAUCGGCCACAUUGGAACUGAGACACGGUCCAAACUCCUACGGGAGGCAGCAGUGGGGAAUAUUGCACAAUGGGCGAAAGCCUGAUGCAGCAACGCCGCGUGAACGAUGAAGGUCUUCGGAUCGUAAAGUUCUGUUGCAGGGGAAGAUAAUGACGGUACCCUGUGAGGAAGCCCCGGCUAACUACGUGCCAGCAGCCGCGGUAAUACGUAGGGGGCUAGCGUUAUCCGGAUUUACUGGGCGUAAAGGGUGCGUANGUGGUCCUUCAAGUCGGUGGUUAAAGGCUACGGCUCAACCGUAGUAAGCCGCCGAAACUGGAGGACUUGAGUGCAGGAGAGGAAAGUGGAAUUCCCAGUGUAGCGGUGAAAUGCGUAGAUCUUGGGAGGAAC
RNAcentral lists this ribosomal RNA (594 nucleotides) under uncultured Peptostreptococcaceae bacterium. Its description in RNAcentral is "bacterial SSU rRNA". It matches the Rfam family "Bacterial small subunit ribosomal RNA", at positions 94 to 707 of the family's 1533-position model. Lineage: Bacteria; Bacillati; Bacillota; Clostridia; Peptostreptococcales; Peptostreptococcaceae. The record is from RNAcentral.